UGGGGAAUAUUGGACAAUGGGCGCAAGCCUGAUCCAGCAAUUCCGCGUGUGUGAAGAAGGCCUUCGGGUUGUAAAGCACUUUAGGCAGGGACGAAAAAAUACGGCGCGAAUAUCGCCGGUCUUGACGGUACCUGAGGAAUAAGCACCGGCUAACUCUGUGCCAGCAGCCGCGGUAAUACAGAGGGUGCAAGCGUUAAUCGGAUUUACUGGGCGUAAAGCGUGCGUAGGGCGGUUCGCUAAGUCGGUUGUGAAAUCCCUGGGCUUAACCUGGGAACUGCAGUCGAUACUGGCGGACUAGAAUGCGGUAGAGGGUGGCGGAACUCCGGGUGUAGCGGUGAAAUGCGUAGAUAUCCGGAAGAACACCGAUGGCGAAGGCAACCACCUGGGCCUGCAUUGACGCUGAGGUACGAAAGCGUGGGGAGCAAACAGGAUUAGAUACCCUGGUAGUCCACGCUGUAAACGAUGAGAACUUGACGUCGGUUCGCCUAGCGAAUCGGUGUCGUAGCUAACGCGCUAAGUUCUCC
RNAcentral lists this ribosomal RNA (524 nucleotides) under uncultured bacterium. RNAcentral describes it as "bacterial SSU rRNA". It matches the Rfam family "Bacterial small subunit ribosomal RNA", at positions 355 to 870 of the family's 1533-position model. The record is from RNAcentral.